GACGAACGCUGGCGGCGUGCCUAAUACAUGCAAGUCGAGCGAGCGGAACUAACAGAUUUACUUCGGUAAUGACGUUAGGAAAGCGAGCGGCGGAUGGGUGAGUAACACGUGGGGAACCUGCCCCAUAGUCUGGGAUACCACUUGGAAACAGGUGCUAAUACCGGAUAAGAAAGCAGAUCGCAUGAUCAGCUUUUAAAAGGCGGCGUAAGCUGUCGCUAUGGGAUGGCCCCGCGGUGCAUUAGCUAGUUGGUAAGGUAAAGGCUUACCAAGGCGAUGAUGCAUAGCCGAGUUGAGAGACUGAUCGGCCACAUUGGGACUGAGACACGGCCCAAACUCCUACGGGAGGCAGCAGUAGGGAAUCUUCCACAAUGGACGCAAGUCUGAUGGAGCAACGCCGCGUGAGUGAAGAAGGUUUUCGGAUCGUAAAGCUCUGUUGUUGGUGAAGAAGGAUAGAGGUAGUAACUGGCCUUUAUUUGACGGUAAUCAACCAGAAAGUCACGGCUAACUACGUGCCAGCAGCCGCGGUAAUGCGUAGGUGGCAAGCGUUGUCCGGAUUUAUUGGGCGUAAAGCGAGCGCAGGCGGAAGAAUAAGUCUGAUGUGAAAGCCCUCGGCUUAACCGAGGAACUGCAUCGGAAACUGUUUUUCUUGAGUGCAGAAGAGGAGAGUGGAACUCCAUGUGUAGCGGUGGAAUGCGUAGAUAUAUGGAAGAACACCAGUGGCGAAGGCGGCUCUCUGGUCUGCAACUGACGCUGAGGCUCGAAAGCAUGGGUAGCGAACAGGAUUAGAUACCCUGGUAGUCCAAGGGCGAAUUCCACAGUGGAUAUCAAGCUUAUCGAUACCGUCGACCUCGAGGGGGGGCCCGGNNCCNNNUUUUGUCCNUNNNNNNNNNGGNA
Molecule: ribosomal RNA, 894 nt
Filed under: uncultured Lactobacillus sp.
Lineage: Bacteria; Bacillati; Bacillota; Bacilli; Lactobacillales; Lactobacillaceae
Description: bacterial SSU rRNA
Rfam family: Bacterial small subunit ribosomal RNA
Source: RNAcentral